GAAUAUUGGACAAUGGGCGCAAGCCUGAUCCAGCCAUGCCGCGUGAGUGAUGAAGGCCUUAGGGUUGUAAAGCUCUUUCGCCGGUGAAGAUAAUGACGGUAACCGGAGAAGAAGCCCCGGCUAACUUCGUGCCAGCAGCCGCGGUAAUACGAAGGGGGCUAGCGUUGUUCGGAAUUACUGGGCGUAAAGCGCACGUAGGCGGCUCUGCAAGUCGGGUGUGAAAUCCCCGGGCUCAACCUGGGAACUGCAUUCGAUACUGCAUUGCUAGAGUAUGGGAGAGGGAAGUGGAAUUUCCGGUGUAGCGGUGAAAUGCGUAGAUAUCGGAAGGAACACCAGUGGCGAAAGCGACUUCCUGGACCAAUACUGACGCUCAGGUGCGAAAGCGUGGGGAGCAAACAGG
Molecule: ribosomal RNA, 400 nt
Filed under: uncultured bacterium
Lineage: Bacteria
Description: bacterial SSU rRNA
Rfam family: Bacterial small subunit ribosomal RNA
Source: RNAcentral